This 3069-nucleotide long non-coding RNA is filed under the name Panax ginseng (ginseng). RNAcentral's name for it is "long non-coding RNA (PGIN_LNC000830)". The record is from RNAcentral. Lineage: Eukaryota; Viridiplantae; Streptophyta; Magnoliopsida; Apiales; Araliaceae.
GCAGCAUCAAAGCACGGAAUAAAGCGAUCCCAUAAGCAAGUGAAAACCAAAAAUAGCCAUAACAAACCAGCCAAAAAAAUCUCGCACCAAAGCAGCACCAAAACAGAGGACAUGCAGUCCACCACCCCAUGCGCAGCAACAAAAAGGAGAAUGCCCACACCAGCCCCCCCAACCCAGCCCACGACCCAUAACUGAAAUCAGCAUAACAACAGACUGCAUGUCCCUGAGCAUAACAACAGAAGUAACGCUACAGCAAACCCCGAGCAGCCACCCCACACAGCAACAUGACCAAUGGCCAGCCUCAUACUGACUGCAUAACAGCAACCCAGACCAGCAAUGUUACAGCAGCGUGGUGCCUAUGCAAUCAGCAGUAACAAACCCACCAUAUUGAAUUAUUGAAGUAUAUAGCAUUAAAGCUUCCCCAAUGCAGAAUACCCACCAUAUAACAGCAACAAGGCAGUAGCAAUUAUUAUCCUAACUGCCUAACAACCUACCAAGUAAGCCUCCAAGCCUGACAAAGGCAGUAACCAGUAGCCCAAUGCCAGCCACCCCAGGAGCAAGAGAAACAGCAGUCGCCAACAUCUAAAAUAUCAUUUAACUGCUAUCAAAAUCAAUAGUCUAUUACCAGGCUCACUAAAACUUCAAAACAUGCUAUUAAAGGGAUAGAACAAUUAGCAUACUAUUAUCAGUUGUAAAUGAUAUAAAGCUUCUAUUUUUCUUUUUCAGUCCCCACAUUAUUGAAUUUCUGGACUUCUGUACUUAAUUUUAAACAAUCCUCUGUCCAAAAUCAAGAUUUGGUUUGUUCAAAGAGUGAUGAAUCCUUAAACCAACUAUCGAAUGAACUUAACCAAAUUAUAUUGUCCAUUUAAGGUAUUUAAUCAAGUAGCAGCAAGGUUUUGCAUAAUUUGCACCACAAGCCAUCCCAAUCACUUUCAAUAUUUAGAGUGUGACUUGUUUUUAUAUACACGGUUAUAUUGUAUAUUAGUGUCUACAAAAUGUGUAAGGAGUUCCUAAGGUAAUUGAAUCUUUUCAGUUUUCGUUAUCAUAGAAGUUAUCUUUUCUUUUACAAUGCAAAUUUCAAAAACUUUACACUAUUAUUAAUGCUCCAGCCCAAGAUAUGUGCCAACCCAAAACCCAGGCACCAGCAAAAAGCCAGCAGGGAAGCAGCCACACAAAAUUAACCCGACACCAACCCAACAUGAGCUAAAAAGUAACGAGCAUAAGCAGCAAGGUCAACAACAAAAAAGCAGCAAAACCAGCCCCUCCUCUGGUAUUCAAUGCAAGGACUGUCAUGUGAUGCAGAGGGGGAGAAUGAACAACCUAUUCACCAAAUUAACAGAUUUGAAGGAGGAUGGGAAAGAAAAAGAGGGGGGAACUUGACAUACUUAUUCAUCCAUAUGAAUUCUUUUCUAUGAAUACUUUCAGAAGAUUAUCAGCUGACCCACGUAUAAAUAUUUAUCAAAGUAAGAACUAAGAACCAUUAUGCUUAACCAUUGAUAACAUAAGUGAAAAAUGAAGUUGCAUUCCCCUUGAGAGGCAAAAGAGUUCCACCGUCACAAACCCAAAUAAAAUUAAACUAUGUACACCCUCCCUUAAGUGACCUUAAUGGCCUAAUCCAUUGGCACAUAUUUUGAAAAGAGGGCAAGUCAACUAUGGCUAUAUAGUUCCUUGUCUUUAAGCAAGACUUAAUGCUCCCACUAAAACCAAACUAAAUUACUAAAGUAUGAAAUACUACCUUUUAACAGCUACCCGUCAUGUAGAACUUUAAUCAAGGACAAAAACGUAACAAGGACAAUUGGUUGUUCAAACAAAUAACUUAAACAAAAGUUUUCUAUUUAUUUCAUUUAUACUGUUGAAAUCAUACUUUUGUUUGUGCUAAAUACAAAAGAUAUCACGAUGCAAAAUCAAGAACCCCCACAGAGUACAACAGAAACUUCAAUAAACAAGACAAACACAAAAUAAAAAUGAGAAUGAUAUUAAAUGCAUUGUGGUAUGAAUAUGAUACAAGACCAUUAGAACAGAAAGUAUGGGCUUACAAAUAUAAUACAAGUGUACAAGACAAAAUACCAAUGGAGACAUAGAGCUAAUUUCCCUUCUUUCAGCUUCACAUAAUCAAUAAUUCUUAUUUUUAGCUAAGCAAGAAACAAAGAUUCUAGAAUACUAUGUAACCAAAUUCUGAGCUCAGAUAUUCUGAUUUGUAUUGUUUCUGGAAAAAACAUAUUUCAACGGAUCAAAAUGGACUAGGUACAAUUUUUAGUUAUGCAAACCACGCUGAUUGAUUAAUUAUUUCAUUAGGUAGCAUAUUCUACUGACUCAAAGUUUAAGCUUCUGAUUAAUUACUCUUCAACUAAAUUUUCUUGCAUGUGUAAAAUUGGAAUUUAUAAACAAACUAAUAAAAACACAUUUCUAUGAUUUCGUAAGCCAAACAGAACUUGGUGGUGUACCAAAUUCAAAGAAAAUAAUAUGCAGGUCAUAUUACAACAACAACGAGGGAACCUGUUAUUUCAACUUGACUGAAUAACCCAAAAAAUAGAGACAAAAAUUUACAGAUAGAGACAUACUUUCUAUAUUAUAAAAAAGCAAACUCCAGCAAAAUUCAUCUGGGCAUACAUAAACACACUUUUUAUAUUAUAAAAAAUCAUCAUUUACAAACAGCAACCCAUGAUUUGAAAAAAUUAGCAAAAAAGAAUCCAGAUGGAAGACAAUCCUGGUAUAUAUAAUAAAAAUAUGUAAGUAGAUAAAUAAAGGAAGGUGUAAUGAAUAGGAGAAACUCACCCGGCCACAUAGGGCUAAUUUCAGAAAACCAGUAAAUGAAAUGAAAUAUAAACAAGUAAAUAUAAUGUGGGAAUUUACGGUGAUCAAUUCAUGUUGAAGAAAUAAGUAAAUAUAUUUACAAAGACAAUCAAUCAAAUGAAAUAUAAAUCAAAAUGAUGACCAGUAAUAAGUCAACAUGAAAACCAGUGAUAUGCCACUCAUCUAGCCCAAGAGCCCUUGUCAGAAAGAGCUACACCUCCUGCUUGUGUGACUCCCUCAUAAAUCUCUACUAGGAUAUUCAAAAGAAGAUUCCUU